UGAGUGGCGCACGGGUGCGUAACGCGUGGGAACCUGCCCUUAGGUUCGGAAUAACAGUUAGAAAUGACUGCUAAUACCGGAUAAUGUCUUCGGACCAAAGAUUUAUCGCCAAAGGAUGGGCCCGCGUAGGAUUAGCUAGUUGGUGGGGUAAAGGCUCACCAAGGCGACGAUCCUUAGCUGGUCUUAGAGGAUGAUCAGCCACACUGGGACUGAGACACGGCCCAGACUCCUACGGGAGGCAGCAGUGGGGAAUAUUGGACAAUGGGCGAAAGCCUGAUCCAGCAAUGCCGCGUGAGUGAUGAAGGCCUUAGGGUUGUAAAGCUCUUUUACCCGAGAUGAUAAUGACAGUAUCGGGAGAAUAAGCCCCGGCUAACUCCGUGCCAGCAGCCGCGGUAAUACGGAGGGGGCUAGCGUUGUUCGGAAAUACUGGGCGUAAAGCGCACGUAGGCGGCGAUUCAAGUCAGAGGUGAAAGCCCGGGGCUCAACCCCGGA
RNAcentral lists this ribosomal RNA (492 nucleotides) under uncultured Sphingomonadales bacterium. RNAcentral's name for it is "bacterial SSU rRNA". It matches the Rfam family "Bacterial small subunit ribosomal RNA", at positions 92 to 619 of the family's 1533-position model. Lineage: Bacteria; Pseudomonadati; Pseudomonadota; Alphaproteobacteria; Sphingomonadales. The record is from RNAcentral.